Molecule: unclassified non-coding RNA, 331 nt
Filed under: soil metagenome
Description: partial contains 5.8S ribosomal RNA, internal transcribed spacer 2, and large subunit ribosomal RNA
Rfam family: 5.8S ribosomal RNA (bases 1-120)
Source: RNAcentral
GAUGAAGAACGUAGCUAAAUGCGAUAAGUAAUGUGAAUUGCAGAAUUCAGUGAAUCAUCGAAUCUUUGAACGCACAUUGCGCCCCCUGGUAUUCCGGGGGGCAUGCCUGUUCGAGCGUCAUUUCACCACUCAAGCCUCGCUUGGUAUUGGGCAACGCGGUCCGCCGCGUGCCUCAAAUCGACCGGCUGGGUCUUCUGUCCCCUAAGCGUUGUGGAAACUAUUCGCUAAAGGGUGUUCGGGAGACUACGCCGUAAAACAACCCCAUUUCUAAGGUUGACCUCGGAUCAGGUAGGGAUACCCGCUGAACUUAAGCAUAUCAAUAAGCGGAGGA